GAUGAACGCUAGCGGCAGGCCUAAUACAUGCAAGUCGAACGGGAUCCAGAUCAAAGCUUGCUUUGGUUUGGUGAGAGUGGCGCACGGGUGCGUAACGCGUGAGCAACCUACCCUUGUCAGGGGGAUAGCCCGGCGAAAGUCGGAUUAAUACCGCAUGACAUCAUUGAGAGGCAUCUUUCGAUGAUCAAAGAUUUAUCGGACAAGGAUGGGCUCGCGUGACAUUAGCUAGUUGGUAAGGUAACGGCUUACCAAGGCUACGAUGUCUAGGGGCUCUGAGAGGAGAAUCCCCCACACUGGUACUGAGACACGGACCAGACUCCUACGGGAGGCAGCAGUAAGGAAUAUUGGUCAAUGGACGGAAGUCUGAACCAGCCAUGCCGCGUGCAGGAAGACGGCCCUAUGGGUUGUAAACUGCUUUUAUACGGGAACAAACGUCGGUACGGGUACCAGUCUGAGUGUACCGUAAGAAUAAGGAUCGGCUAACUCCGUG
This 490-nucleotide ribosomal RNA is filed under the name uncultured bacterium. RNAcentral's name for it is "partial 16S ribosomal RNA". It matches the Rfam family "Bacterial small subunit ribosomal RNA", at positions 28 to 507 of the family's 1533-position model. The record is from RNAcentral.